Long non-coding RNA from Cyprinodon variegatus (sheepshead minnow), 582 nucleotides. RefSeq lists it as uncharacterized. The record is from RefSeq and is a predicted model, not a curated record. Lineage: Eukaryota; Metazoa; Chordata; Actinopteri; Cyprinodontiformes; Cyprinodontidae. The transcript is spliced from 4 exons.
UCAGGAGGAAAAGUCUGAUUUUAAUUCUGAGAAGUCAGAGUCUUGAAGGCAUUCAUGCACACGUGCCUGCAGACGUCUGAAAUUUGACAGAGGACUGGGACCUUUCCAUCACUCAGCAGCCCUUCAAAGCCACAUUCCUCAUUGAUACCUGAUGCUUGCUCUUUAGUACUCUGCUGCUCAGAUUAAUGAAAAGCUCAGCUGCGAUGCUGAUGCAAUGAAACGCUGGAUGCCUGGAGUUGGAGCAACAGAACAAGGAAAAAGCCUCUUUCAGCUGCUGAGAAGCAACUGAUCCGCUGCAGGCGAGGAGCUGCAGGGAGCAGGGACGUUAGUAACGCGGGUUCUGUGCGCAAUUCAUUCAGUCAUAUGGAAGCACACCCAGACUGUGUAGAAUUAAACUGAUGGUGCUAUAUAUGAUCGAUAUAGCCUACAAGGUUCCAAAUCUCCAUAAAACACCCUGAAGUCCUUUCAGGGUCACUGUGGGGCCGGUGCCAAUCUCCAGCCGUCUAUGAGCAAGUGUCGGGGUACAUCCUGGACAGGUCGCCGGGUCGCGUAGGGGUCGGUGCCUAUCUCCAGCAGUCUAUG